RNAcentral lists this ribosomal RNA (497 nucleotides) under uncultured bacterium. Its description in RNAcentral is "partial 16S ribosomal RNA". It matches the Rfam family "Bacterial small subunit ribosomal RNA", at positions 28 to 507 of the family's 1533-position model. The record is from RNAcentral.
GAUGAACGCUGGCGGCGUGCCUAAUACAUGCAAGUCGAGCGAACGGACGAGAAGCUUGCUUCUCUGAUGUUAGCGGCGGACGGGUGAGUAACACGUGGAUAACCUACCUAUAAGACUGGGAUAACUUCGGGAAACCGGAGCUAAUACCGGUUGUUAUUUUGAACCGCAUGGUUCAAAAGUGAAAGACGGUCUUGCUGUCACUUAUAGAUGGAUCCGCGCUGCAUUAGCUAGUUGGUAAGGUAACGGCUUACCAAGGCAACGAUGCAUAGCCGACCUGAGAGGGAGAUCGGCCACACUGGAACUGAGACACGGUCCAGACUCCUACGGGAGGCAGCAGAAGGGAAUCUGCCGCAAUGGGGGAAAGCCUGACGGAGCAACGCCGCGUGAGUGAUGAAGGUCUUCGGAUCGUAAAACUCUGUUAUUAGGGAAGAACAGAUGUGUAAGUAACUGUGCACAUCUUGACGGUACCUAAUCAGAAAGCCACGGCUAACUACGUG